UAGGGAAUAUUGGGCAAUGGGCGAGAGCCUGACCCAGCCAUGCCGCGUGCAGGACGAAGGCUUUCUGAGUCGUAAACUGCUUUUGCCAGGGAAGAAAAAGGGGGAUGCGUCCUCCACUGACGGUACCUGGUGAAUAAGCACCGGCUAACUCCGUGCCAGCAGCCGCGGUAAUCCGGAGGGUGCAAGCGUUGUCCGGAUUUAUUGGGUUUAAAGGGUGCGUAGGCGGCCGAUUAAGUCUGGGGUGAAAGCCCACUGCUCAACAGUGGAACUGCCCUGGAAACUGGUCGGCUUGAGUACAGACGAGGGUGGCGGAAUGGAUGGUGUAGCGGUGAAAUGCAUAGAUACCAUCCAGAACCCCGAUUGCGAAGGCAGCUGCCUAGACUGUAACUGACGCUGAGGCACGAAAGCGUGGGGAGCGAA
RNAcentral lists this ribosomal RNA (420 nucleotides) under uncultured bacterium. RNAcentral describes it as "bacterial SSU rRNA". It matches the Rfam family "Bacterial small subunit ribosomal RNA", at positions 355 to 772 of the family's 1533-position model. The record is from RNAcentral.